UUCCUUAUACUUUUUAACUCCCCCGCCCUUUUCUGUAGGGCUGCAGCGAUUGCUAAAACUCUCUUGGCCUCUGGCGCCAGAAACCCCAUGAGGAGCCAGCCCUCUAUCAGAAGCCAGGCAAGGCAAGCCAGCUUAGGGUGUGCGCUCAGGGGCCAGACGCUGGGGCUUGCAUUUGAGGAGCAAGUGUGGGGUGAGGAAGAGGCUGGAGGACGUCUGUUGGAACAAAAAAGUAAUCACCAGUCUCAGACGAUGGGGAGGGGGGCAGGCGGGGUGAGGAACCUCGGACCUGGGAAUGAAGAAGGAAUUGGGAAGGGCCUAUGAGUUAGCAAGGGUUACCAACCAAGUGGGAACAGAGCCACCUGUGUCGAGGUGGCGUCCAGCAGGACACCAGCGGACACACCAGGCUCAGGGGCCACCUGGGCUCGCUGGGCUCCCAUGAAUGUGUGUCUAAAAUUUGGGGGAACAGGUCACAGAGCAACGUGCUGUCUCAGUCUUCCUCCCUGGCUACAGUAGCUCCCCCUUUUUAGUAGGAUCCACAGCACUGGACCAGAGGAGAACCAGGUGAAAGAGACCCUGGAGUGGUCCCAAGGAGAAUGAUCCCAGACUGGCACAGCUCCUUGAUCCUCACGGCCUACAUCCUCAUCUUCCUCACUGGGCUCCCUGCCAACCUGCUGGCCCUUAGGGCCUUCGUGAAUCGGGUCCGCCAGCCCCAGCCUGCUCCCGUGCACAUCCUCCUGCUGAAUCUGACCCUGGCGGACUUGCUCCUUUUGCUGCUACUACCCUUCCGGAUCGUAGAAGCAGCGUCUAACUUUCGCUGGUACCUGCCGAAGAUCGUGUGCGCGCUCACGGGCUUCGGCUUCUACAGCAGCAUCUACUGCAGCACGUGGCUGCUGGCGGGCAUCAGCAUGGAACGCUACCUGGGAGUGGCCUUCCCCGUGCAGUACAAGCUAUCCCGCCGGCCCCUGUACGGAGUGAUCGCCGCUCUGGUGGCCUGGAUCAUGUCCUUCGGCCACUGCACCAUCGUCAUCAUCGUUCAGUACCUGAACUCAACAGAGCCUGUGGGCACUGAGAACCAAAUAACCUGCUAUGAGAACUUCACCCAAGAGCAGCUGGAUGUGGUGCUGCCUGUGAGGCUGGAGCUGUGCCUGGUCCUCUUCUUCGUCCCCAUGGCAGUCACCAUCUUCUGCUACUGGCGCUUCGUGUGGAUCAUGCUCACGCAGCCCCAUGUAGGGGCUCAGAGGAGACGCAGAGCGGUCGGCCUGGCUGUGGUGACGCUUCUUAAUUUUCUGCUGUGCUUCGGACCUUACAACGUGUCCCACUUGGUGGGGUUCUUCCUGUGGCAGAGCCCUCCGUGGCGAGUGGAGGCUGUGGUAUUCAGCUCCCUCAACGCCAGCCUGGACCCGCUGCUCUUCUAUUUUUCUUCCUCCGUGGUGCGCAGGGCUUUCGGGAAAAGUUUGCUAGUGUUCCGCAAACCCGGCUCCUCGGUGCUGGGCAGAGGAGCCAAAGAGACAGUGGAGGGGACCAGGAUGGACAGGGGUGGGAGUCAAACAGAGGGGGUGCCGAGCUCCGAUUUCAUCACUGAGUAGAGAGUCCCCCGAACCUUCCCCAGUCUCUGGUCACCCAGAAGUUGGGCUGGCUAGCAGAGUGCCUGGAACUUGGUGAAAGAUAAAAAAUAAAAAAGAAAGACAUUCCCCAACCACGGUCCACUACUCUCUCAGCUUGGCAUAACUGCUUGUCUGGAUUUUCCUGCUACAGGAUACAAGAAGAAAUGGCUACAGCCCUAAAAUAAGUGGGGCCAGGGCCUCAGAAGCGGGGUGUCUAAUAGGAGGGCAUUUUGAAAAGUAAUCUUCCUUCAAGCUUGGAAACGCCACUCAGAGACAGUGGUCUGGCUGCUGAUGCUGCAAAGAAGCCAUUGAAAAACGAUCGGGGGAAACCUGUGGGAAGAAAAGGAAAGCCCCGCCACGGGAGGGACUGGCGGGGAGGACAGGGGCCGCAUCUCUGGUGAGCUUCGCCUCUCUACAUCCCUUUGAGCUGUCCCUUUGUAAGUGUGCUCUGUUGAUUUUCGCGUUUUGGCCUUGCUCCACUGUUACACUGGGGUCUGGGUUGCACGUCUGUCCCCAGUGUCCUCCCACCCAGGCUAGGGUGUGUCUUGGUACUGACGUAGACACUGACCUGCACAGGAGGACAGAAAACCCAGUCUGGUUUGGCAGGUUGAAAAUAAAGAUGAUGGCCACCGCCUAACGCAUAGCUUUCAGCGCUGGUCUCUAUAACCCAGGGAAAGGGGGAUGGCGAACCUAGUACCACAGCAGAGGGAGAAGGGAUGCAGCGCCCCCCCCAACACUUUCAAAUGAUGGCAUUCUGAGGGCAAAGGGAGACAGGAGGCUGAUGGGAUCCUGUUUAGCCCAAUGGCUGGGGAGGUUGGACUUCCUCCUGGAUGUGGGUGGGUCCCACCUGGGGCUGCUGAUCCCUCAGCGAAUUGAGAAUGCAUUCUGUCCUCCUCAGAACCCCGUUGUUCUCUUGUAUCAAGCCCCUCCCCCCUGCCCUCGGACUCCAGAUCACCGCAGGCCUUUGCCUGCCCUGUGCCCUCGGUCCCUUCCUGAUCCUUCCUGCCUAACUCCUUUCUCCACCAGGACCCCAGUGCGAUUAGCAUUCCACAUGCCCAGAGUUGAAGAGGCUGAGACUGGAGGAUUGUGAGUUUGGGGCUAGUCUGGACUACAGAGUUAGACCCUGUCUUUCAAAAGCAAGAAACAAACUUUAAAACACUAGAAAAAAAAAUGGUUUUGAGACAAGGUCUCCUACAGGUGGCUGGGGCUGGCUUUGUACACCUCAUGUACUGAGAAGGACCUGAACUCCUUGUCCUCCUGUCGCCCCCCCCCCCCGCCUUCCCCCAGAGUGUAGAAUACAGGUACGUACCACCUUGACUCUCCUAGAAAUAAGAUAUUAAACCCAACAGCCAAUGAAAUUGGUUCAGUGGGUAAAAGUGCUUGCUGCACAAUCUCAAGGACCUGAUUGUGAUUCUCGGAACCCACAAAAAGUAGGAUGUGGUAGCGUGUAGCCGUAUUCCCUGCAAUGGAGGUGGAGAUAGGAGCCGGCUAGCCUGGGCUACAAAGCAUGGCAGAAACAAGAGAGCUCUACCUGACCUGAACAAGGUGGAAGGAGACUCCAAAGUUGUUCCCCAACCUCCAUGUUCAUGCUUCGUGGCACAAGCUGACACACACACACACACACAUGCAUACAUAUACAUGCACACAUGCACACCACAAUAAAUAAAUUAAAAUAAUUAUUUCUAUUUGAGACAGGAUCUCGCUGUGUAGCCUUGGCUAGUCAUGAGCUCGCUAUGUAGACCAGGCUGGCCUUGAGUUUACAGAAAUACACUUGAGGGCUGCAAUUAAAUCAUGACUGGUUAAAAAUGAAAAUAAUUUAAAAGCUAACUGUAGGGGGAUGUGGCAGGAGAGAAAACUUGGGUAGAGUUCCGGCUUACCAUGACACUGUGAUCCAGUGCAGCUUGCAAUUGAGCUCAUCUGGGAGCUGUCAGAUUGCCCAGUGGGUAAUGGCACUUGUUACCACAGCUGAUGACCUGAGCUGGAUCCCCAGAACCCACAGGGUGGAUGGGAAGAAUCCACUCCUGCAGGUUGUUUCCUAACCUCUG
Alexandromys fortis (reed vole) is the source of this 3649-nucleotide RNA transcript. It is a transcript of the gene named free fatty acid receptor 2, with no coding region annotated. The record is from RefSeq and is a predicted model, not a curated record. The transcript has 3 exons. NCBI's taxonomy places the organism in Eukaryota, Metazoa, Chordata, Mammalia, Rodentia, Cricetidae.